Molecule: RNA transcript, 2639 nt
Organism: Solanum dulcamara
Lineage: Eukaryota; Viridiplantae; Streptophyta; Magnoliopsida; Solanales; Solanaceae
Gene name: GPI mannosyltransferase 1
Exons: 5
Source: RefSeq, a predicted model, not a curated record
UUUGGGUAUUGAGCGACCAGUUCCUUCAAUAUUGUGAACGAUGGUGACUGUAAAUCUGAAGUCGUUGUUGAUAUUCUCAGCAUUUCUACGGGUGUUUUUGAUAAUUUACGGAGAAUGGCAAGAUACCCAUAUGGAGGUUAGAUACACAGAUGUGGACUAUCUUGUUUUCUCAGAUGCAGCUGCUUUAGUAGCUGCUGGAAAAUCCCCUUAUCAAAGAUCUACAUAUCGCUACUCACCCUUAAUUGCUUUUCUUCUUGUGCCCAAUUCUUUCAUUCAUCCUUCUUGGGGAAAGUUUAUCUUCUCCGCUUCAGCAGAUCUUCUCGUGGGAUUUCUUAUCAACACCAUUUUAAAGCUAAGAGGGGUGCCUGAGAAAUUGUGCACUUACUCAGUGAUGGUAUGGCUUUUGAAUCCAUUUACCUUUACUAUUGGAACUCGUGGGAAUUGUGAGCCCAUCAUCUGCGCCAUAAUCCUUUGGAUUAUUAAAUGUCUAAUGAAUGGUCGUUUAGUACAAGCUGCAUUUUGGUAUGGGCUUGUUGUCCACAUGAGGAUCUAUCCAAUAAUUUAUGCUCUUCCGAUCAUUUUAGUUCUUGAUCCUCUGUUCUUCCAGUAUGGUACGAAACCUGCUCUUGUGAAUUGGAGUUCUAGAAAAGGCAAGUCACAGCAGACUUCCAUCUGUAAAAAGCUUGUGGAUCCUUGUUGUAUAUGCAACUUUUUAACAAGCCUUUUUACCUGGAGAAGGAUAAUGUUUGGGCUUAUUUCUGGAGCUAUGUUCUUUCUCCUUACUGGGAUUUUCUUCUUUUUAUAUGGGUGGGACUUCUUGCAUGAAGCACUGCUCUAUCAUCUCACACGUACAGACCCAAGGCACAAUUUUUCAAUUUAUUUCUACCAUAUAUAUCUGCACUAUGAACACGAGUUAUCAAACUUGGAAAAGCUCGUCUCAUUUCUGCCUCAGAUUAUGGUGCAGUCAGUUCUUGUUUCCCGCUUUGCGCAGGAUUUUCCAUUUUGCUUCUUUGUGCAGACUGUGGCAUUUGUUGCAUUUAACAAGGUUAUGACUGCUCAAUACUUUGUUUGGUUCUUCUGCCUCUUGCCGCUAAUCCUUCCAUGGACCAACAUGAAGCUCAGAGGAAAAGGAUUGGUCUGCAUCUUGUUGUGGAUGGCAGCUCAGGGUCACUGGUUAUUGUGGGGUUAUUUGCUUGAAUUUAAAGGAAAGAAUGUCUUUCUUCAACUCUGGGUAGCAGGUUUGCUAUUUUUGGCUGCAAAUACUUUUGUUCUUAUCAAUAUUAUCCAGCAACAUACAUAUAGUCCAGUCUUCCAACAUUCAUCUCAUUCAGCUUCAAAGAAACAUGUCAAACAGAGAUGAGGAAUCAGAUCAUAUACCUCCUAAAUCAAUGGAGGAGGAAUUUUCGAGCUAGUAGUGUAUUUAGCCGUGUUCGGGACUUGUAGAGCCUUCCAUCAUCAGGUACAGAUUUCACCUUCAAUGUGUAUUUGGAUGCCAAUUUUGUAGAAUUUGGAUUUGGAGGAUAAAUUGAAAGCAAGGGCAACGGCCUAGUGUUGGUCGAGGAGAAUGAAUGGUCAGUUGAAGAAAUAGGAACCAAGUGGGCACUGAAGGGAGUUAUUCUUUUUGUUGGAGUGUGAACGGGAGCCCUACUGAACAGCGGUUGAAAGUACUAUCUGUGAGCAAUAGUCUUCCAACGAGCAUAUCUGCGGUAAAAAAAGACAAGCGAUGUGUUUCACAGAAUCACCAUGCUGCUCACACUUGCCUCGCAACAUCAAUGCAGCUGUGCUUAUGUGCCUAUUGUUAAACUGAAUCAGUAGAUUUGCAUUAUCAAAACGCACCAUGAUCUAUCUUCUUCAAGGCCACAUGUAUAGUUUAUGUGCUUCACAUUCAUUGAGCCUUGGUGGUUGACAGACAUUACAAGUUUGGUUUUUAUUAGAGACCUAAGGAGCUGGGUGGUGGUUUUGAUGGAAGAGGAUAACACCUUUGUGCUUUGCUUCCUAAUAUUCGUCCUUGUUCAAUCAAGUGACAGCAAUAGGUAUGCUAUUCUACUGAAUCAGCUGUUCGGAACUUGCCUACUGGAUUAUAAGAGGAAAGAAACUGGUUAAUCAACAUGAUCAACAGUCUCUAAUUUCACUACAAUCAAUUAGAAUUAAUUUCUUGCAACAAUUAUGUGGUGAGUUCACAACUUUUUGCUUUUCAUUUCAUAAGAAAGAAAAUAUUAGACUGAGAAUUGGAGGGCUUUACCCAAAAGGGUAGCCCUUUCAAAAAUUCUCAAUGAAGGCAGAACCCAGGCCAAAGAGGGGGUUUGGAAAUAGUUUUCAACCAGCAAUAGACUGCCUCAUUGUCCCAAGCGCAAAGAUGAGUUUUCCAUCUUUCUGACCUCUCCUUUUCUGUGGGAGAGAAUAACCCUAAGCCAUAUUCGUAAACCUAAGUAAAUAGAAAAGGUUAGUCACCCAUGACUUUCCACUAAAAUGGUCAUUCUUUUUACUCUUUUGUGCAUUACCCAAAUUAAACGUUAAGCAAUUUUACCUUGACGGUAAAACUGGAGUUAAAAAGAUAAGGAUUAUAAAUUAGAUCCCAAUUUACAUCUGUUACUCUGAAGUUAGGAUAGUAGACUUGUUUGGAGAUUGUUAGUUGUUUG